RNAcentral lists this antisense RNA (75 nucleotides) under Streptomyces sp. NRRL S-4. Its description in RNAcentral is "ASpks sRNA". It matches the Rfam family "ASpks TB sRNA". Lineage: Bacteria; Bacillati; Actinomycetota; Actinomycetes; Kitasatosporales; Streptomycetaceae. The record is from RNAcentral.
CUUGACCGACCCGAGCCACACCGGGCGGCCUUCCGGGCGGUCCUUCCCGUACGUUGCGGCGAGCGCCUGCACCUC